UACAGAGGCCUCGAGCGUUAGGCGGAAUCACUGGGCUUAAAGCGUGUGUAGGCGGACUUCUAAGUGCCUUGUGAAAUCCCACGGCUCACCCGUGGAACUGCUGGGCAUACUGGGAGUCUUGAGCCACCUAGGGGCGAGCGGAACAAAUGGUGGAGCGGUGAAAUGCGUAGAUAUCAUUUGGAGCGCCAACGGAGAAAUCAGCUCGCUGGGGGUGUGCUGACGCUGAGACACGAAAGCCAGGGGAGCGAACGGG
RNAcentral lists this ribosomal RNA (253 nucleotides) under uncultured bacterium. RNAcentral's name for it is "partial 16S ribosomal RNA". It matches the Rfam family "Bacterial small subunit ribosomal RNA", at positions 524 to 776 of the family's 1533-position model. The record is from RNAcentral.